CCCAUUUAUAAAGGGAAUGUGGGUCCUCUGCUCAUAUUGUCCAUGACAAAGUGCCAGAGAAAAUACCACUGACUGCUUGAUUUAAUACUCACCCACUGGAUAAAGUUGGACUAGUUACUAAGAAUUACAACCUUCUGGAUGCAGGGAGAGCAAGAGAACCUAACCUACUGAAUUAUUUUCCACAUUAAACAAAGUUUUUGAAGAACCUCUCUAAGUGAACUCUAACACAGAACCCCA
Molecule: non-coding RNA, 237 nt
Organism: Callorhinus ursinus (northern fur seal)
Lineage: Eukaryota; Metazoa; Chordata; Mammalia; Carnivora; Otariidae
Source: RefSeq, a predicted model, not a curated record